This 73-nucleotide transfer RNA is filed under the name Candidatus Rifleibacteriota bacterium. RNAcentral's name for it is "tRNA-Thr". It matches the Rfam family "tRNA". Rfam says of the family: Transfer RNA (tRNA) molecules are approximately 80 nucleotides in length. Their secondary structure includes four short double-helical elements and three loops (D, anti-codon, and T loops). The record is from RNAcentral. Lineage: Bacteria; Candidatus Rifleibacteriota.
GCCUGUAUAGCUCAGAAGGUAGAGCACUUGCAUGGUAAGCAAGAGGUCGUCAGUUCAAUUCUGACUGCAGGCU